AAGGAAGGAAGAGUUUCUUCAGCUUUUCGGCAGAAACAGUGGUUGUUGUCUCUUUUGUUAUUGCUGCUGUUAUUUCCGUUUGUGUGGCUGCCCAUGUCACGCAAGUAAUUCUGGGCAACUCACAACAGGAGAAGAAUGAAAGAAAACGGCAUACCAGCCUUUCUCCUUAAGAAAGCUUCAAAAACCUUUAUUUCAUUCUGAGGCGAAACGGAUGAAACCGAGCCAUAUGUGACAUCCGAUCCGUCACCAGGCAGUUUAGAAUAGAGUGGAGCGGAGCGGAGCGGAACGGAACGGAACGGAACGGAACAGAACAGAACAGAACAGAACAGAACAGAACAGAAUAACAGAGUUGGAAGAGACCUUGGAGAUGUAAUGGAAAUUGUGAAUUGAGCUUGUGAAAGGAAUGUAAGCGUGGUAACCAUCUAUGACCGGAACGAGAUUUUUGCUCUUGAAAGUUAUGUUUUUAUGUUUAAAUUUGAAAAAAUAAAUAAAAAAUAUUUACAA
Molecule: non-coding RNA, 504 nt
Organism: Pantherophis guttatus
Lineage: Eukaryota; Metazoa; Chordata; Lepidosauria; Squamata; Colubridae
Source: RefSeq, a predicted model, not a curated record